GCCACUCACGCCAUCUGCUAAUGGGACAGCUCACUAUUCCCUCCAAACCAUGGCCUUGGCUCAAGAGCUUCCUUGUUUCUGGAAUGUUCUUUCCUCCAGCUGCAGGUGUUGGAAUUCUGCCUGGUCUGGGUCUCCUGUUGAAGGACGCCCUCCACAGGGAAGGAUCCUCUUGCCUUCACCACUUGCCUUCACCAGCCCCUGCUCCCCUCUUCCUCUUGGGGCUGUUGUGGUGGUUGUUACUUUUUUUUGUUGUGUUUGACACACUCCUUGUUCUCACCCUCUAACACAGUUCUCAACCACAGCACUUUUGUCCCUGGGGAUGUUUGGCAGUGUCCAGAGACGUGUUGAUGGUCCCACUGGGGUUGGGGGUGCUGCAGGCAUCUGGUGGGGAGACGCCAGGGGUGCUGCUCCACGCCCUAUGGGAUACCGCACAGUACACCUGGCCCGUGUCCCCCACAGCGAGAGCUGGCCCUGGGCAGGCGUGGUCCCUGUGGUGUGUGUUGGUUGGGAUCCUCCACAGUGACAGACGGUGCCCUCUGCCCACGUCUCCACACAGCUCUUUUGCUUGUGGAGCUCACCCCUUUGCAGAGAGCUCAUUUCCCUGCCGUCUUUGGCCUGCAGAAGUAAAAUGAGGGGUGGUGAAUUACACCCCUGCUGGUUACACAUGGAAAACUCAGGAGCAAGAAUUUUGUGGAGAGCAAGAGAGGCGAGACUUGGGUGCUGGCUGCCAGCCAGGCGGUCCCUCAGCCCCUGGAGAAGCGGGGUGGGGCCUGCACACCGAGUCCUUCCAGUGAGUCCAGUGAUGCUCUCUUUCUCCUCUUCCCCCCAGUCACCUUUCUCUCCAGUGCCACUACUGCGCUUUCGAUGCGGAAUAAUUCAGUAUUUGGUGACUUGAAGUCGGACGAGAUGGAGCUGCUCUAUGUAGCCUACGGAGAUGAGACAGGUGUGUAGUGUGCGCUGAGCCUGCAGGAGUUUGUGAAGGAUGCUGGGAGCUACAGCAAGAAAGUGGUGGACGACCUCCUAGACCAGAUCACAGGCGGAGACCACUCCAGGACGCUUUUCCAGCUGAAGCAGAGAAGAAAUGUUCCCAUGAAACCUCCAGAUGAAGCCAAGGUUGGGGACACCCUAGGAGACAGCAGUGGCUCUGUUCUGGAGUUCAUGUCGAUGAAGUCCUAUCCCGACGUCUCUGUGGAUAUCUCCAUGCUCAGCUCUCUGGGGAAGGUGAAGAAGGAGCUGGACCCUGACGACAGCCAUUUGAACUUGGAUGAGACGACCAAGCUCCUGCAGGACCUGCACGAAGCACAGGCGGAGCGCGGUGGCUCUCGGCCGUCGUCCAACCUCAGCUCCCUGUCCAACGCCUCCGAGAGGGACCAGCACCACCUGGGAAGCCCUUCUCGCCUGAGUGUCGGGGAGCAGCCAGACGUCACCCACGACCCCUAUGAGUUUCUUCAGUCUCCAGAGCCUGCGGCCUCCGCCAAGACCUAGCUCUAGACCACCUUCAGCUCUUUUAUUUUAUUUUUUAAGUUUUAUUUUGCACAUGUAGAGUUUUUGUCAUCAGACAAGGACUUUGAUCCUGUCCCCUUUGGCAUGCGGGAAGCAGCCCCGGGGAGGUAAUGAAUUGUCUGUGGUAUCAUGUCAGCAGAGUCUCCAAGCCCCAUGAACCCUGAGGAGUGGAGUCAUACGCGAAGGCCGUGUGGCCAGGCCGCAGAGCUGCGUGCUGUCUGUGUCCGAGCAUCACGUGUGGCUCCAGCCCUUGUUUCUGCCAGUGUAGACACCUCUGUCUGCCCCACUGUCCUGGGGUCGCUCUUGGGAGGCACAGGCAUGGGUGUGUCUGGCCUCAUUCUGUAUCAGUCCUGCGUGUUCCUGUCAUAGUUUGUGUUUCCCAGGCAGGCCAUGGUAGGGGCCUUGCAGGGGCCAGUGGGGAGCACGGGGCCAGGCUGGGGUGAGGAGAGCUCCCCUGUUUUCUGUUUAAUUGAUGAGCCUGGGAAAGGAGUGUGUUCUGCCUGCCCGUUACAGUGGAGCGUUCCGUGUCCAUAAAACGUUUUCUAACUGGG
Molecule: small RNA, 2054 nt
Filed under: Pongo abelii (Sumatran orangutan)
Lineage: Eukaryota; Metazoa; Chordata; Mammalia; Primates; Hominidae
Description: retained intron
Source: RNAcentral